AAAAUAUACAUAAUAAUUUGCUACUUAACCAUUUUUUAAUAGUCCCUGUGCUGUACUUUACAUCUCCAUUAAUUAUUUAUUUUUUAACCGGAAGGUUUAUACCUCUUAAUCCCCUUCACGUAUUUACCCACAUUCGCACUCCUCGCCCAUGGAUCAUGAGCCUGUUUUGUCUGUUCUUUUGCUUUGUUUAUUAGAUUCCACAUAUGAGUGAGAUCAUACAGUAUUUGUCUCUGUCUGGCUUACUUCACUUAGCAUAAUACCCUCUAGGGCCAUCCAUGUUGUCACAAAUGGGAGGAUCUACUUUUUUAUAGAGGAGUAAUACCCCAUUGCAUACAUGUACCACCUCUUCUUUAUCCAUUCAUCUAUUGACUGGCACUUAGGUUGCCCAUAUCGUGACUAUUGUAAAUAAUGCUGCAAUGAGCACAGGGUGUGUAUAUCUCUUCAAAGUGGUGUUUUGGUUUUCUUCAGAUUAAAUACCCAGAAUUGGGGUUGCUGGAUCAUAAUGGUAGUUCUGUUUUUUACUUUUUUGAGAAACCUCCAUAUUGCCUUCCACAGCGCCUACACCAAUUUACCUUCCCACCAACAGUGUCCAAGGGUUCUCUCUUCUCCACGCCCUCACCAACACAUGUUAUUUCUUGUCUUUCUGAUACCACGCAAUCUGACUAGUGUGAGUUGAUACCUCUUUGUGGUCCUGAUUAGCAUUGCUCUGAUGAUUAGCCACGUGGAACCUUUUCAUGUGCCUGUUGGCCAUCUGGAUGUCUUUGGGAAAAUGUCUGUUCACAUCCUCUGCCCGUUUUCUCUUGUUUCUUGUGGGAGGCCUGUAUCGCCAUGAACUUCCCUCUUAGAACUGCUCUGCAGCGUCCUACAAGCUUUGUAAAGUCGUGUUUCCAUGUUCAUUUGCCCCAAGGUCCUGUGUUUUCCUCUUUGAUUUCUUCAUUGACCCGUUGGUUGGUUAGCGGCAAAGUUUGGUGUUCAUGUGUUUGCAUUUUUCUUGUAAAUGAUUUCUAGUUUCAUACUGUUGUGGUUGGCAAAGAUGCUUGAUAUGAUUUCAAUCUUCUUGAAUGUAUCGAGACCUGUUUUAUGGGCUAACAUGUGAUCUCUCUUGGAGAAUGUUCCAUGGGCACUUGGUCACACUGCUGUCAACCGUCCCCACUAUCCAGCCCCAGAGCUCAUUUCCUGUAAAACCAAAACUCUGUCCCUAAGAAACAGAAACUCCCCAGCCCCUCCCCCAGCCCCUGUACCCACCAUCCACUUUUUGUCUCUGAGGAUGUGACUCCUCUGGGGACCUCCUGGGAGUGGGAUCAGGCAGGAUCUGUGUCCUUCUGUGUCUGGCCUGUGUCACUGAGCACAGUGUCCCCAAGGUCCAUCCAUGUUACAUCAAGCAUCAGUAUUUCCUUUUUAUGGCUGAAUAAUAUUCCAUUGUGUGGCUAUACCACAUUUUGUUUAUCCACUUAUCCAUCGAUGGACACUGGGUUGCUUCCACUUUUUGGCCAUUGUGAAUCAUGCUGCUGUGAAUAUGGGGUGCAAAUAUCCAACCAAGUCCCUCCUUUGAUUAUGGACCCAGAAAUAAAAUCACUAAUUCAUAUAGUAAUUCUAGGUUUAACUUUUUGAGGAACUGUCCGGCUCUUUCCCACAGGGGCCGCACUGUUUUAUGUUCCCACCAGCCAUGCACGUGGGUAGCCUUAGAGGGUUUUUGAGCAGAGCAGAGAAUCAGAAUAUUUCAAGAGGCAAUAGUCAGAUCUGAGUUUGCAGAAGGGAGUGGAUCGAAGGACCAAGGAGAGAUGAUGAAGCCUAAAUUAGGGCAGCAGACACCGGGGCAGUGAGGAGGGGACAACACCCAAGAAACACAUGAGAGAAAAUUUGGCAGAACAUAGAUGCUGAUACGCAGUGGGGGACCAUGCAGGGGACGUGGAGGAGGACAAGGGUACCUUGGCAUAGAUGACUGCGGAGGGGCAUCUUUAAGGAGCAGGGGCAGGGGGCGGCUGGGUUCCGUUAUUGAGCACAUGGAGUUUGAGGGGUCAGAGGGACCCUCUCGGGGAAGACAUGGGAUGGGAGAUUCAGAGUGAGAUUAGCACUGGGAAGAAGUCUGAACCAGCGGGGGUGGGUUGAGCCCCCUAGCUGCAGUGACUGCAGGUUUGGGGAGCACCGCUCCUCAAGGGGAGCUCAGGUGGAGCUGGAGACGUGCUGGAGCUUCCCAGAGGCCCCAGGUACUUUGCUCUCCCAGACUGGGAGGCCUUAAUGCGGGCAUUUACUGCUCAGGACUCCGGAGGCUCCAAGUCCAAGUCCAAGUGUGGGCAGGGUUGCUUCCUUCUGAGGCGUCUCUCCUGGGUUCAUAGAUGCUGUCUUCUCUCUGGGUCUUCACGUGGUUUUCCCUCUGUGCCUCUGUGUCCUAAUCUCGUCUUAUAAGCACACCAGUCAGAUCGGAUCAGAGCCCAACCUGAGGACCUCAUUUUCCUCAGUCAUUUCUGUAAAGACCCUGUCUCCAAAUGUAGUCAUGCCCUGAGGUUCUGGGGUGUCUUGGCCCGUUUGGACCGCUAUAACAAAGUACCAUGGAGGGGGUGGGUUAUAAACAACAAAAAUGUGCAUCUCAUGGUUCUGCAGGCUGGACGUCUGAGACCAAGCUGUCAACGUGAGUUCUGGGGUGCAAACUGCUGACUUGUAUCCUCACUUUGCAGAGAAAGCGGUAUCUGAAGUCUCUUUUACAAGGACAAUAACCCCAAUUAGCGAAGGCCCCACCCUCCUGACCCAAUUACCUCCCAAACGCCGCCUCUGAUACCAUCACAUUGGGGGUUAGGAUUUCAACAUAGGACUUUGGGGCAGGGUGGGGUGGAUGCACACCUUCAGUCAGUUGAAGAGGGGUUAGAACUUCCACAUAUGCGUGUGGGGUUACACAGUUCAGACCAUCGCCGCAGCGAAAAUAUUUCUGCGUGGUGAGGUGGUGAAGAGCACAGGAGUCAGACCGCCUGGUUCAAAUGCCCAUUUCUUCUAAAUCCUAGAUUUCCUGAGCAAGAGACCUGGCUUUUCUGAGCUUUGCCUCUUGUAUGAGUUUCCUACUGAUGGUGUAACUAAUUGCUACAAACUCGGUGGCUUAAAAUGACACACACUUACUAUCUUACAAUGCUGGGGGCCAAGUCCCGAGUGGGUCACACCAGGCUAACAUCACGGUGUCUUCAGGGCUGUGUUCCUCCUGGGGGAGCUGGGGGAGAGUCUGUUCUGUUGCCUUUUAUAGCUUCUGGAGGCACCUGCACUCCCUGGCUCGUGGCCCCUUCCUCCUCCUUCAAAGCCAGCAGAGGGCAGUUGGAUUUUUCUCCCACCGUAUCACACUGGCCCCUGCUUCCAUCACCCAGCUCCUCCUCUAACCGUCUUGCCUCCUCUUAUAAGGACUUCUGUGAUGACAUCGGGCCGCCCGGGUAAGCCAGGAUCAUCUCCCAUCUCAAGAUUCUAAAUUUAAUCACAUCUGCAAAGUCCCUUUUGCCACAUAAGGUGACAUAUGCACAGGUUCUGGGGAUUCGGACUUGGGCGUAUUUGGAGGGGGUGAACACACUCUCUCCCAAGUGCAUGGGCUGAGCCAAUAGAAACCCCUUAAAAAAUUAUGUUUAUUUCUAGGACAAUUGAUUGAUCAUUAUUGAUGUUCACGCCUGGAAUGCUGGCCCCUUGAGGGUGAGGAGCUUGGUCUCCUGUAUCCUCAUUGUUGAAUCAAUAGCUUCUUCCUCCCGGGGAGCCUGGUCUUGGGGUGUCAGCACCAUGGACAGGGAGGUGCUGUCCGAGGUGCUGCCAAGGGCCCCUCUCUGCCCUCCCUGUCCAGCCCCCAACAUCACUGCCUUCUCCAGAUCUCUAGGAUUUGAGGGACACAGGAAGCUGAAAAUUCACCCCAAGUUUGUCCCCUGUAAACGUCUCCAUCUUCACUGCCUUGCACUCCACCUCACGCAUUCUGUUCUUUCUCUUCCUCAGACUCCCCACAGAUUCCAGCCCUGAAGGCUCCUGCACUUUGUUCUCUGUGUAACUGAACAAGCCCAUUCCCAAAUAUCGACCUCUCUGAACAGUCUGAAACCAGUGUCUAAAGUACUUCCCCACCCACCCCAUUUCCUUGCCUUUAAGUCACGUUCACUACCCACAGUUGUCUUGUUUAUUGCUUAUAAUCUCUCUGUCCGAGACACACUCAAUUACAGAUUCACUGCAAAUACGAGUUCCAUCAGCAGAGAAACUGCACAGACCAGCUCCUGGCUCAUAGCUGCUGCUCAGUGAAUGUGGAAUGAGAUCAAGCUCUGAAGCUAAAGCAAAGAUUGCUGAGAUGUCUCCCACUCUCUAGGACUCUUGGAGCGCCCCCCCAAAUGAAACCACAUAACUUCCCCUGUUCUUCAGGCACACAAGAACACAAGAACAGCAGCAAUAACAGUAACAAUUAAUUUAUGGAAUCUUUGAAUUCUCACAACAGCUCUAUGGAGAACAUAUUGUUGUUAUCCCUGUUUUAGAGAAGAAGAAACGGAGGACCAGAGAAGGACAUAAGUUACCCAGUUGUUAAGAGAUGGAACCACUUACCCACUACCCUGUUCUGUUUCCCCAGGAAGUGGAUUUGUUGAGAUUUCCAUUCUUGGCUGCAGUUCUGGGAGCAACACUUGACCCUUGGAAAAGAAGUCCCCCUCAUGGACCUAGGAAGAUCCUCUCUGCUGACCACCCCAGACCAGUGAUGUGUCCAGCAUCGGCUACAGCAGAGCCACAGCAAAGGGACAGACUGGCCAUCUCCCUGCCUGGACUCAGUGUCUGCUGCCUACGUCCCAGUCCCCUGAACCACAUGUGGACCUGGCUGGACACUGAGGUGUAACAAGAGUAUUGAACGUACAUUAAGACUGCUUGCUGAAUGGUCUCCCUGUCUACACGUCACCCUGCAUCCAGAGCACUCGCACAAUUGUAAUUAAACAAGUGUAUCUUCA
Molecule: non-coding RNA, 4931 nt
Organism: Manis javanica (Malayan pangolin)
Lineage: Eukaryota; Metazoa; Chordata; Mammalia; Pholidota; Manidae
Source: RefSeq, a predicted model, not a curated record